This 931-nucleotide ribosomal RNA is filed under the name Pinnularia borealis complex sp. Its description in RNAcentral is "partial 28S ribosomal RNA". Lineage: Eukaryota; Bacillariophyta; Bacillariophyceae; Sellaphorales; Pinnulariaceae. The record is from RNAcentral.
UAUUACUAAGCGGAGGAAAAGAAACUAACKAAGAUUGACAUAGUAAGGGCGACUGAAAUGUCACGAGCUCAGCAUGUGAAUCAGUGUUGACUCUUGUCAGCACUGAAUUGUGGUCUUACGGUUCUUGCACUAACUAGUGMRUUCAGACCAUGUUUUUUGGAAUAAAAUAGCACAGAGGGUGAAACUCCCGUUUGUCUGAACACACAAAGUUGCCAGCAAGUACUACCGAGUCGAGUUGUUUGGGAUUGCAGCUCAAAUGCGGUGGUAAAUUCCAUCUGCAGCUAAAUAUUGGUGGGAGACCGAUAGCGUACAAGUACCGUGAGGGAAAGAUGCAAAGAACUUUGAAAAGAGAGUGAAAGAGUACCUGAAAUUGCUGAAAAGGAAGCGAACGAAGCUAGUGAAAGCUACGUCAUACUUUCCAACUUGCUUGCAACUUGGACGCUGUGGCGAGCCUWGUUCGGCUYGAUUGCGCAGUCRAUGUGAAAGCAGGUGACGAAAAGUUGUUUACCUUUUUUCGUCUGCCUUUGGCACAUACCRCAAUUSAGCUGAACCAAAUARCUUUGUUUGUCCCGUCUAGAAACACGGACCAAGGAGUCUAACAUAUGUGCGAGUACUGGGGUUAYUACAUACCUACUCGGUGCGCAAUGAAAGUGUCAGAGGCUGGAAUGCAGUUGCAUUGCACAGUCCGCCGGCCUCAAUCCCUCGGGAGAAUGGUCUGAGUGUGAGCAUACAUGUUGGGACCCGAAAGAUGGUGAACUAUGCUUGAGUAGGGUGAAGCCAGGGGAAACUUUGGUGAAGGCUCGCAGCGAUUCUGACGUGCAAAUCGAUCGUCAAACUUGAGUAUAGGGGCGAAAGACUAAUCGAACUAUCUAGUAGCUGGUUCCCUCCGAAAUUUCCCUUAGGAUAGCAGCAAUCGUUGCCAGUUUUGUCA